GAACCGUCCAAACGUUAUUCGGAAUUAUUGGGCUUAAAGGGUGCGUAGGCUGUGCAGUAAGUUGGGUGUGAAAUCCCUCGGCUCAACCGAGGAACUGCGCCGAAUACUGCUGUGCUAGAGGAAGAUAGGGGUAAGCGGAACUGAUGGUGGAGCGGUGAAAUGCGUUGAUAUCAUCAGGAACACCGGUGGCGAAGGCGGCUUACUGGAUCUUUUCUGACGCUGAUGCACGAAAGCCAGGGGAGCGAACGGGAUUAGAUACCCCGGUAGUCCUGGCUGUAAACGAUGAGCACUUGGUCGGAGGCUCCUCCAUAGGCUUCUGGCCGUAGCGAAAGUGUUAAGUGCUCCGCCUGGGGAGUAUGGUCGCAAGGCUGAA
Molecule: ribosomal RNA, 373 nt
Filed under: uncultured bacterium
Lineage: Bacteria
Description: bacterial SSU rRNA
Rfam family: Bacterial small subunit ribosomal RNA
Source: RNAcentral